Molecule: ribosomal RNA, 403 nt
Filed under: bacterium
Lineage: Bacteria
Also listed under: 1 other name
Description: partial 16S ribosomal RNA
Rfam family: Bacterial small subunit ribosomal RNA
Source: RNAcentral
UGGGGAAUAUUGCACAAUGGAGGGAACUCUGAUGCAGCGACGCCGCGUGAACGAAGAAGGCUUUCGAGUCGUAAAGUUCUUUUAUAUGGGAAGAUAAUGACGGUACCAUAAGAAAAAGCCCCGGCUAACUACGUGCCAGCAGCCGCGGUAAUACGUAGGGGGCUAGCGUUGUCCGGAAUCACUGGGCGUAAAGGGUUCGCAGGCGGAAAUGCAAGUAAGGUGUAAAAGGCAGUAGCUUAACUACUGUAAGCAUUUGAAACUGCAUAUCUUGAGAAGAGUAGAGGUAAGUGGAAUUUUUAGUGUAGCGGUGAAAUGCGUAGAUAUUAAAAAGAAUACCGGUGGCGAAGGCGACUUACUGGGCUCAUUCUGACGCUGAGGAACGAAAGCGUGGGUAGCAAACAGG